UGCAGUCGAAGGGGWUCAUGAAGCUUGCUUCAUGAUGAGACUGGCGUACGGGUGCGUAACACGUAAACAAUCUGCCUGCAGAUGGGGGAUAACCCCGGGAAACCGGGGCUAAUACCGCAUAAUGCAGCGGGGCCGCAUGGCCACAGUUGUUAAAGCUCUUCGGGGCGUCUGCAGAUGAGUUUGCGCAGCAUUAGUUAGUUGGUGGGGUAAUGGCCUACCAAGACGAUGAUGCUUAGGGGUUCUGAGAGGAUGAUCCCCCACACUGGCACUGAGACACGGGCCAGACUCCUACGGGAGGCAGCAGUGAGGAAUAUUGCGCAAUGGGCGAAAGCCUGACGCAGCCACGCCGCGUGCCGGAAGAAGGUUCUUGAAUCGUAAACGGCUUUUGUCGGGGAAGAAUGGCCUGGAUUCGUCCGGGUUUGACGGUACCCGUUGAAUAAGCACCGGCUAACUCCGUGCCAGCAGCCGCGGUAAUACGGAGGGUGCAAGCGUUGUCCGGAAUCAUUGGGUGUAAAGGGUGCGUAGGCGGAGUCUUAAGUCUGUGGUGAAAUCUUACCGCUCAACGGUAAACGUGCCAUGGAAACUGGGAUUCUUGAGUGUGACAGAGGCAGGUGGAAUUCGUAGUGUAGCGGUGAAAUGCAUAGAUAUUACGAAGAACACCAGUGGCGAAGGCGGCCUGCUGGGUCACAACUGACGCUGAGGCACGAGAGCGUGGGGAGCGAACAGGAUUAGAUACCCUGGUAGUCCACGCUGUAAACGAUGUAUGCUAGGUGUUGGUCACGGUUCGGCCGUGAUCAGUGCUGCAGCUAACGCAUUAAGCAUACCACCUGGGGAGUACGUUCGCAAGAAUGAAACUCAAAGGAAUUGACGGGGGCCCGCACAAGCGGUGGAGCAUGUGGCUUAAUUCGAUGCAACGCGAAGAACCUUACCUGAGCUUGACAUCCCUCUGACCGGUCGGUAAAGCGACCUUUCCUUCGGGACAGAGGAGACAGGUGGUGCAUGGUUGUCGUCAGCUCGUGUCGUGAGAUGUUGGGUUAAGUCCCGCAACGAGCGCAACCCCUGUCAUUAGUUGCCAGCAAGUAAGGUUGGGCACUCUAAUGAGACUGCCGGUGACAAACCGGAGGAAGGUGGGGAUGACGUCAAAUCAUCAUGCCCCUUAUGUUCAGGGCUACACACGUGCUACAAUGGCCGAUACAAAGGGCAGCGAAGGAGCAAUCCGGAGCGAACCCCAUAAAGUCGGUCCCAGUUCGGAUUGAGGGCUGCAACUCGCCCCCAUGAAGUUGGAGUUGCUAGUAAUCGCGAAUCAGCAUGUCGCGGUGAAUGCGUUCCCGGGUCUUGUACACACCGCCCGUCACACCACGGAAGUCGGAAGCACCCGAAGCCAGCUACCGAACCUCGGAAGGAGCUGUCG
RNAcentral lists this ribosomal RNA (1411 nucleotides) under uncultured bacterium. RNAcentral's name for it is "bacterial SSU rRNA". It matches the Rfam family "Bacterial small subunit ribosomal RNA". The record is from RNAcentral.